GAUUAUCUUUGUGUUGUACACAGAUAUCGGAAAAUGAUGUCCACAAGUGAAUAUCAUACUAUCUUCUUCCGUCAUAAGCAAACGAUGCACAGCAUCCGAGUCCUGAUGAACAUGAUAAGUUUCAUGUAAUACGCAGUAUCAGCCACUAAAAUAUCGUACUGAUAAUUCCUUCCAUCAUCUGCUCUGGGCUAUUAUUUUCACUUGCACCCGGAUAUCCGUUCAAAGGUGCGCCGUAAUGGUCGGCCAUUAAACAAGAAAAGAUUUUCAUAUAUUCGGGCAUAAUCUCAUCUGAAAUGUAAGUAAUUAUUCGUUACGCCAAUUAAAUACACAUUCGCAUUAUUUCGUGAGUUAUAAGUCGAAAUAACAACCUUGAUCUAUAUGUUGCAACAACAAGGACAGUACUUGAAGGCAGAACUUGACUGAGAACAAAUCGACUACGCAGAAACUCUUGUCAUUCGUAUUAUUGUAUUUAUUUGCGUCUAAGUAUCUUCCUAUCGCGUUUUGACUAGAAAAAAAUAUCAUAGUGAAAGAAAUUAUUCACAAUCUUACUAAUAUAAUCUUAUUAAUUACAAUUGUAAUGCACAGGAAAUUCACGAAUAUAGUAAUAUUUUACCGUAAAAUAGCACUAAAAAUACAUUGCGUAUAUGAUGCAGCGACAGGAUGGUGUAUGAUGAUCUAACAUCAACUUACCAGAAUAACAAUAAUCCAAGUGGAUAAUAAAUAAUAUGUAUGUGUUCAAGGAAAAUAUUCUCCAAACUCUGCAUUGUGUUACCGUGGCCCAAUUGACCAUGAACACCCCAACCCCAAGUGAACAUUCUGCCGUCUGCGGUCAGUGCUACCGAAUGAUAUUGUCCAGCUACCGCGUCAACGAUUAUCUCUUGUGCCAGUGAAGUAACUAAUUCUGGACUCGAGCACUGUAGUACCUUUCCGAGACCUAACUGCCCAAAUUGACUGGCUCCCCAAGCGUAGAUUCCGUUAUUAGUGACUGCCAAGGUGUGACAAUGUCCGCAUGAUACACUAAAGACUUCUAUGUUCAUGCUUCGGAAGAAACAUAAGGCAUGAGGCGCACCAUACCGUAGCACGCACGAACCAAGACCUAGUGAUUAUUAAUUAGAAAAAUUAAACGGUCGAGAAAAGAAAUAUAAAAUCAGAUAAGAGAAGGAAAGAUAAAAAAGAAGAUUAUGCAUACCUAAGCAACCUUGCACCGAACUACCCCAAGUAUAGAUAUUAGUAUUUCUAAUUAGAGCAACAUGAGAAAAUCCAGUGCUUAGUAUUCUCUUCUUAAAAUUAACAUGCGGUGCCAUCUCCAAGUGUUCCUAUUUAAAAGAUAUAAUAUUAUAAUUAUAGACAUAAUAAAUGCAAUCAAAUAUUUCACUUGGUAUCGCCACUUUAUAUCAUAAUGAAAUGGAGAAAACUAUUUUGAAUUUUGUAAUUUCUCGAAAAGAAAAAUUUUGUUCUACUAUACCAAAUAAGAAAAUUGAAGUAUUACCUUACUUAUCUUUGGUAAUUCUCUAUCAUAUAAAAAAAUGGGUUUAUAGUUCGGAUUUAAUACCCGCUUCUUAUGAAUAAGUGUCAAUAGAACUAAUGUAAACGUUUCUAUUAUCUCCUCUAUAAGCGUAUCCGGUUGAUCCUACAAAAUCGUUUCUCGUUAUCAAUAAGAAUGUGUAUAUAUAUAUAUGUAUAUAAAAUAUAUAUGUCUGUAAUAAUCGUAUUUACAGUAUUUUUAAAUUCUCAAUUCUUCAACUAUUUCCAGUUUUUUUUUGACAAUUUUUAUUCAAGGAUACAUGUUGCACCCCAGUAACUUACUACUUACAAUAUUAUCCGUAACGUCUAUAAAAUCACAUUGACUAGAUAGUCGACUAUAAGAUGUCGCUCUAUGGCGUUCUUUACAUUUCAUUAGUCUAGCUCGUAAUACUGGACUCGUUGGAUCGUACAGUGUUACUAAUCUCUGUAAAAUAUAUCAACGUGUCAAGUAUGAUGUUUUGUGCAAUUUGCGAAAUCGCUUGGAGCUUAAUUCUAAUGUGAAAUUAUAUAUUGACAAGAGCGCAGAUUUUUCAAAAGCAGUCGAGAGUUAAGAUUUCUUACCUGAAGCACAAAAAUUUGAGAAUCCCGCAGAUUAUUACGUACGAACGACAUGUGAGAUCUAGCUAAAUCAUGGUUCAAUAACAUCGCUUGCAUUAGACCAGAUUCACUUAAACAUAUGAGUAAACCAUCUAAAAUAGAAGUUUGUAUUAAAUUCUGUGCAUUAAUAUUACUUAAUUGCUUGUAACUGCCUGAGAAAUAUGCAUUCAUACGUGUAUGCGGCUAUGUAUAUGUACACAUUACAUGAUUUUGAGUGAAAGUCGUUCGUGCCAAACGUUUGCACCGCUUUUAUAAGAAUAUCCAACAUCUGGCCAUAUAGACAUCUCUGCGUAGCUAAAUGAUGCAGCACUUCCCAGAGAUAAGUUUGACCAGCUACAUUAAUAGCUAGCAACUCAUCGUAAAACGUAUUCGUGGAUAAAAAGUAUCUAUGACAAGAUUAAAAUGGAGUAUCAGCAAGAUAAAAUAUUGCUCGGACCAAACCCUUAGAGUCAUCUCGAUAAACGCAAGUACACAUAAAUUGGACAAAUGUAUCCUAGUGGCAAUAUGCAUUUCGAUAAUAGCUGGUGUUAAUAAACAGUGAGUAAGACAACUCAAUAGUUCUGAAGUAUGACCAACUGAUGCGAACUUUAAAACACUUUUCAAUAAUUUACACUGAAAUAAAGAUAAUAAAGAAAAAAUUAGUACUGAUCACAA
Odontomachus brunneus is the source of this 2775-nucleotide long non-coding RNA. RefSeq lists it as uncharacterized. The record is from RefSeq and is a predicted model, not a curated record. The transcript has 4 exons. NCBI's taxonomy places the organism in Eukaryota, Metazoa, Arthropoda, Insecta, Hymenoptera, Formicidae.